Molecule: small RNA, 18 nt
Filed under: Arabidopsis thaliana (thale cress)
Lineage: Eukaryota; Viridiplantae; Streptophyta; Magnoliopsida; Brassicales; Brassicaceae
Description: ATSL245630
Source: RNAcentral
UCAAAGAUAAAGAAAAAC